RNAcentral lists this unclassified non-coding RNA (334 nucleotides) under soil metagenome. Its description in RNAcentral is "partial contains 5.8S ribosomal RNA, internal transcribed spacer 2, and large subunit ribosomal RNA". The stretch from base 1 to 120 matches the Rfam family "5.8S ribosomal RNA", at positions 35 to 154 of the family's 154-position model. The record is from RNAcentral.
GAUGAAGAACGCAGCGAAAUGCGAUAAGUAAUGUGAAUUGCAGAAUUCAGUGAAUCAUCGAAUCUUUGAACGCACAUUGCGCCCCCCAGUAUUCUGGCGGGCAUGCCUGUUCGAGCGUCAUUUCAACCAUCAAGCCCUGCUUGUGUUGGGGUCCUGCGGCUGCCCGCAGGCCCUGAAAACCAGUGGCGGGCUCGCUAGUCACACCGAGCGCAGUAGCACAUCUCGCUCAGGGCGUGCGGCGGGCUCCAGCCGUUAAAGCACCCACCUUUCGCAAGGUUGACCUCGUAUCAGGUAGGAAUACCCGCUGAACUUAAGCAUAUCAAUAAGCGGAGGA